UUACAGCUGAGAGAGGAACCAGACGGAUCUCUGGCCCGGAUGAGGAGGUGUCGGCCAGACAAGCUGAACUGAAGGCUGGCUUGAACCAUGCUCUGCUGUCUCCUUGCCCUUCUGGGCAAUUUUCUUAGCCACUCCUACUGUCCCAGACCGUUCAGGUCUUGAGGAGCGUAGCCAGCGAAACCAAACUGGAUCAGCCCCGCUGGGAAGGCGGUUUCAUCAUCACCUCAUUUUACGUAAGCGUCUUUGUUUCUGAGGUCACCCUCUCUCCCGGCCCCUUCACUGAAAGUGACUCAUAAAGUAGACAAAGUAGCUCUCUAUCUGGGGAGAAGUCUGUUAGUUAGAAAAUAAGAUUCUUCUCCCUGUCUUUACCCACAAAAAUUGGUAAAAUUACAAAGAUUGUUGGGUUGGGUGGUGGUAAGUGUAAUUUAGGGCUCAGAUCUUGCCUGACAGUGAUCCAAUUCAACGAGGGAAAGUCCAAGCAAAAGAUUAAAGUUUCAUGAGGUAUCAGGCCUGAUUUGGGAGUCCUUGACAGAGACAUAAAGGUUGAAAUGUUU
Molecule: long non-coding RNA, 554 nt
Filed under: Mustela putorius furo (domestic ferret)
Lineage: Eukaryota; Metazoa; Chordata; Mammalia; Carnivora; Mustelidae
Description: lncRNA (ENSMPUG00000027635.1)
Source: RNAcentral